CCUGCCUUGGAGCCAGCUGACAAUGGACUGAAACCUCUACAAACUUCAUAUAAAGAUACAAGAAGAAGAUGGCUGUCUGCAAAUCAGGAAGACUGACCUCACCAGACAUUGGAUCUGCUGGUUGUACCUGGAUCUUGAACUUCCCAACCUUCAUAUAAUGUAAUGUUGGAGAGGUCCUUGGCCGGCUGGACCCCACUUUGGCCGACUCGUCACACCCACCUGCAACCAGCGAGAUGGUGAGGACCACUCAGCAAGCCCACCAGCCACCAGCUUAGUGCUUGGGCUCCUGGAAACCACCCCCCACCCCUGGCCUCCUGGUUGUGUCGCUACCUGGUUCCACACUACAGAGGCACAGGGGGCAUAAGGGCCAUUGUCCUGAGCUGCAGAAGUGAACAACAGAUAGAGGGCCUCUCUCAGGCUCCUUCAUGAAAACUAAAGCUGACUGUAAAAGUGAAGAGAAUCUUGGAAAUAAAGGCACACCAGACCACCGUACUUGAAUUUGUACAUCUCUAGAACAAUACUUAACAGAACUCAGACUUUCAGCCUCCAUUCACAGCCUCUAAAAUCUCUGCUGGAAAUUUUUUUGAUGCUUUUAUCUAGUGACCUGAUCCAAACUAGACUUUCUUCCUUCAAAGAUCCAGAUUGUGCCAGUGGAGGUGAAGCUGAGGAUGCAACCCAGGGAAGAAGGUACAUAAAGGCUGAAUUUGCUCAAAGGGAAUUCAUCACCUUGGGACCACCUGAUUAGUCCUGCCAUUCUGAUGAUCAUACUGACAACCUGAU
This 780-nucleotide long non-coding RNA is filed under the name Heterocephalus glaber (naked mole-rat). RNAcentral's name for it is "lncRNA (ENSHGLG00100047193.1)". The record is from RNAcentral. Lineage: Eukaryota; Metazoa; Chordata; Mammalia; Rodentia; Bathyergidae.